This 492-nucleotide ribosomal RNA is filed under the name uncultured bacterium. RNAcentral describes it as "partial 16S ribosomal RNA". It matches the Rfam family "Bacterial small subunit ribosomal RNA", at positions 29 to 507 of the family's 1533-position model. The record is from RNAcentral.
AGUGAACGCUGGCGGUAGGCCUAACACAUGCAAGUCGAACGGCAGCACAGUAAGAGCUUGCUCUUACGGGUGGCGAGUGGCGGACGGGUGAGGAAUACAUCGGAAUCUACUUUUUCGUGGGGGAUAACGUAGGGAAACUUACGCUAAUACCGCAUACGACCUACGGGUGAAAGCAGGGGAUCUUCGGACCUUGCGCGAUUGAAUGAGCCGAUGUCGGAUUAGCUAGUUGGCGGGGUAAAGGCCCACCAAGGCGACGAUCCGUAGCUGGUCUGAGAGGAUGAUCAGCCACACUGGAACUGAGACACGGUCCAGACUCCUAUGGGGGGCAGCAGUGGGGAAUAUUGGACAAUGGGCGCAAGCCUGAUCCAGCCAUACCGCGUGGGUGAAGAAGGCCUUCGGGUUGUAAAGCCCUUUUGUUGGGAAAGAAAAGCAGCAGGUUAAUACCCCGCUGUUCUGACGGUACCCAAAGAAUAAGCACCGGCUAACUUCGUG